Molecule: non-coding RNA, 106 nt
Organism: Chelonoidis abingdonii (Abingdon island giant tortoise)
Lineage: Eukaryota; Metazoa; Chordata; Testudines; Testudinidae
Source: RefSeq, a predicted model, not a curated record
AGGCUAUGGAACAUGGGGAGGAGGGGAGGCGGUUAUACAGUGGAUGCAGCGGGGGUCUGUGCUCUUGUUAGCUUUCCUACAGCUCCAACAGAUUCCUCAUCAUUUC